RNAcentral lists this ribosomal RNA (422 nucleotides) under uncultured bacterium. Its description in RNAcentral is "bacterial SSU rRNA". It matches the Rfam family "Bacterial small subunit ribosomal RNA", at positions 355 to 774 of the family's 1533-position model. The record is from RNAcentral.
UGAGGAAUAUUGGGCAAUGCCCGAAAGGGUGACCCAGCAACGCCGCGUGGAGGAUGAAGGUCGUAAGAUUGUAAACUCCUGUUAGAGGGGAAGAAUAACUAAGUUUGGAGCUUAGUAUGACUGUACCCUCAGAGAAAGCCCCGGCUAACUACGUGCCAGCAGCCGCGGUAAUACGUAGGGGGCAAGCGUUGUCCGGAUUUACUGGGUGUAAAGGGCGCGCAGGCGGAAUGGAAAGUCAGUGGUGAAAUCCUACAGCUUAACUGUAGGACUGCCUUUGAUACUUUCAUUCUUGAGUUCGGGAGAGAGAGAUGGAAUUCCAGGUGUAGUGGUGAAAUACGUAGAUAUCUGGAAGAACACCAGUUGCGAAGGCGGUCUCUUGGUCCGAUACUGACGCUGAGGCGCGAAAGCGUGGGGAGCAAACA